UACGUAGGGAGCAAGCGUUGUCCGGAUUGAUUGGGCGUAAAGGGCCCGUAGGUGGUUGGGAAAGUCGAUGGUGAAAUCUCAGAGCUCAACUCUGAUAGGUCUGUCGAUACUUCUCUGACUAGAGUUUGGUAGGGGAUCAUGGAAUUCCAGGUGUAGCGGUGAAAUGCGCAGAUAUCUGGAGGAACACCAAUGGCGAAGGCAGUGAUCUGGGCCAAUACUGACACUGAGGGGCGAAAGCGUGGGGAGCGAACAGG
RNAcentral lists this ribosomal RNA (254 nucleotides) under uncultured bacterium. Its description in RNAcentral is "partial 16S ribosomal RNA". It matches the Rfam family "Bacterial small subunit ribosomal RNA", at positions 524 to 776 of the family's 1533-position model. The record is from RNAcentral.